Molecule: RNA transcript, 1983 nt
Organism: Pelmatolapia mariae (spotted tilapia)
Lineage: Eukaryota; Metazoa; Chordata; Actinopteri; Cichliformes; Cichlidae
Gene name: actin-binding LIM protein 1-like
Exons: 17
Source: RefSeq, a predicted model, not a curated record
UGGACAACACACACACACACACAUAAACACUCACGCUGACUCACAAAGUCGAUUUAAUACCUGACAUUCCACACAAGGGCUUGACCUCUUCACAUUUGCUUUAUGGUUUCUAACCGGCAGUCGGUCUUCAGCCUGAACUGUUUGGCUGAAAGUCUCGACAACAUGAGCGUGUCAAGCCUUCUCAACCUCAGCAACCUGGGCAAGAUCUGCGGCUCCAGCCACAGCAACGACAUGAUAGUUCUGGACCGGGUGAAGAGGAAGAACUCCGUCAGGCGCAUGUCAAUAAUUGAAGACGGUCAAAUCGCAGAGGUUCUGUACUUGAUUCCAAAGCAGUCCAUAAUGGAGCAGCUACCGUUCCUCAACCCUAACGACUACAUUCUGUGUGAAAAGCUGGCAGGUAUACCUGCAGAGCUGUCAGUACUACACACCCAGGAUAGCUGCCACCCCUGCCCUCCAGCAGGGAAGAAGGUAAUCUGCUGCUUCAGGUGUGGGGAGUCAUGCAGAGGAGAGGUGCUGCGUGUUCAGAGCAGCUACUUCCACAUAAACUGCUUUACAUGCAAAGUGUGUGGCUGUGAUUUAGCUCAGAGUGGCUUCUUCAUGAGGAAUGGGGACUACCUCUGCCCGCUGGACUUCCAGCGACGUCAUGGCACAGCUUGCAACAGCUGUGGAGAAUUUGUGGAGGGAGAGGUGGUUACGGUGUUGGGGAAGACCUACCACCCAGCCUGCUUUGUUUGCGCCAUUUGCAAACAGCCUUUUCCUGCUGGGAAUUGUGUCACCUUCAUUGGAAAAGACUGCCUCUGUCAGCGCUGUAUGGAACCUGUGUCGCCGUCUCCAAACGCCACCAGCUAUUCCAGCAGCUGCACUGGCUGUGGUAGAGACAUCAAGAAUGGACAGGCUCUAUUAGCCCUCGGAGGCCAGUGGCACCUAGGCUGCUUCAAGUGUAAAACCUGCAGGAAAGUGUUGAGUGGAGAAUAUAUCAGCAAGGAUGGAGUUCCCUACUGUGAGAGAGACUACCAGAUUCAGUUUGGGGUAAAAUGUGAAGCAUGUCAGAAGUUUAUAACUGGAAAACUCUUAGAGGCUGGGGACAGACAUUAUCACCCCAGCUGUGCAAGAUGCAGCCGAUGCGACAGGAUGUUCACAGAAGGAGAAGAAAUGUAUGUGCAAGGAUCAGUAAUUUGGCACCCAGAUUGCAGAGAAACCAGCAGAAUGGAGGACAGCUACAGGCGCACUAGAUCAUCAUCUGAAAGCUCCUGUUCCAGGCCGGGCUCGUGCACUCCUGGCAGCCCAGGUCGAACCAUCUGUGCCAAAGUAGAUAAUGAGAUCAUUGAUUACAGAGACUUAGCAGCAAUUCCCAGAGUCAAGGCUAUAUAUGAUAUUGAGUAUCCUGAUAUGAUAUCUUAUAAGUCUGUGAAUGACCACCCCUCUACUUUGGAUGAGAAAGGAAACACACAAGACAGCCAAAGAGUCCAAAAAAGUCCUGCAGAGUCACCAGAAAUCAAAACUGAACCCACAGAGGAGAGUUUUGAAAUAAGAACACGUGUACCCAAAUCUAAAAGCCAAGGGCCUUUUGGACUUCAUACAAUGUACCAUCGUCAUAGCUACACUCCAACUUCAUCCAGAUCACCACAACACUUCCACCGACCAGCAGAUGAAAGCUUCAACGUGUACAGGAGGGCCCCGAUUUAUAAACAGCAAGAUCCAAAUUCCUCGACAUCCCCAGCAUCCUCUUUGCCCGGUCGAAACAGCCUCAGCCCGCCACAGCCAGCUGAUUUCUCCCACUACCAUGACGACAGAUGCAGAGACUUCAGGGUAUGUGACAGUAACUGAAUGGAGUUGGUAUUCGAGUCAGUCCUGGUUCCCUGUUUGGUUUGUGGCAUAUUUUUUUGAAGAACUGGCCUAACUCAUUGUCUCAUCUAUGACCAUCAGUACCCAUUAACACAAAUGGAGAGAGGAGUGUCUAUGCCUAAUUUGUUGGAACCAAAU